Molecule: ribosomal RNA, 447 nt
Filed under: Cyptochirus ambiguus
Lineage: Eukaryota; Metazoa; Arthropoda; Insecta; Coleoptera; Scarabaeidae
Description: partial 16S ribosomal RNA
Source: RNAcentral
CAUGUCUUUUUGAUAUUAAUUUAAAGUCUAACCUGCCCAAUGAUAAAAAAUAUUAAAUGGCCGCGAUAUUUUGAUCGUGCAAAGGUAGCAUAAUCAUUAGUUUCUUAAUUAGGAACUGGUAUGAAAGGUUGAACGAGAAAAUUACUGUCUCAAUUUAAUUUUAUUAGAAUUUUAUUUUUAAGUAAAAAAGCUUAAAUAAAUUUAAAAGACGAGAAGACCCUAUAGAGUUUUAUAUUUAAUGAUAUUAAAAAAAAAUUUAGAAUUUAAUUUUUUUUUUAUUAUUAAGUAUUUGGUUGGGGUGAUUAAAAAAUUAAAAAAACUUUUUUUAAUUAAUUACAUUGAUAUAUGAAUAAAUGAUCCAUAUUUUAUGAUUAAAAGAUUAAAUUACCUUAGGGAUAACAGCGUAAUUUUUUUUGAGAGUUCUUAUCGAAAAAAAAGUUUGCGACC